UGGGGAAUAUUGCACAAUGGGCGCAAGCCUGAUGCAGCCAUGCCGCGUGUAUGAAGAAGGCCUUCGGGUUGUAAAGUACUUUCAGCGGGGAGGAAGGGAGUAAAGUUAAUACCUUUGCUCAUUGACGUUACCCGCAGAAGAAGCACCGGCUAACUCCGUGCCAGAAGCCGCGGUAAUACGGAGGGGGCAAGCGUUAAUCGGAAUUACUGGGCGUAAAGCGCACGCAGGCGGUUUGUUAAGUCAGAUGUGAAAUCCCCGGGCUCAACCUGGGAACUGCAUCUGAUACUGGCAAGCUUGAGUCUCGUAGAGGGGGGUAGAAUUCCAGGUGUAGCGGUGAAAUGCGUAGAGAUCUGGAGGAAUACCGGUGGCGAAGGCGGCCCCCUGGACGAAGACUGACGCUCAGGUGCGAAAGCGUGGGGAGCAAACAGG
This 429-nucleotide ribosomal RNA is filed under the name Chloroflexota bacterium. Its description in RNAcentral is "Chloroflexi bacterium partial 16S ribosomal RNA". It matches the Rfam family "Bacterial small subunit ribosomal RNA", at positions 355 to 776 of the family's 1533-position model. The record is from RNAcentral. Lineage: Bacteria; Bacillati; Chloroflexota.